GAUGAACGCUGGCGGCGUGCCUAAUACAUGCAAGUCGAGCGAACGGACGAGAAGCUUGCUUCUCUGAUGUUAGCGGCGGGCGGGUGGGUAACGCGUGGAUCACCUACCUCUAAGACGGGGAUAACUUCGGGAAACCGGAGCUAAUACUGGAUAAUAUUUUGAACGGCAUGGUUCAAAAGUGAAAGACAGUCUUGCUGUCACUAUUAGAUGGAUCCGCGCUGCAUUAGCUAGUUGGUAAGGUAACGGCUUACCAAGGCAACGAUGCAUAGCCGACCUGAGAGGGUGAUCAGCCACACUGGAACUGAGACACGGUCCAGACUCCUACGGGAGGCAGCAGUGGGGAAUCUUCCGCAAUGGGCGAAAGCCUGACGGAGCAACGCCGCGUGAGUGAUGAAGGUCUUCGGAUCGUAAAACUCUGUUAUUAGGGAAGAACAGAUGUGUAAGUAACUGUGCACAUCUUGACGGUACCUAAUCAGAAAGCCACGGCUAACUACGUG
RNAcentral lists this ribosomal RNA (497 nucleotides) under uncultured bacterium. RNAcentral's name for it is "partial 16S ribosomal RNA". It matches the Rfam family "Bacterial small subunit ribosomal RNA", at positions 28 to 507 of the family's 1533-position model. The record is from RNAcentral.